GACGAACGCUGGCGGCGUGCUUAACACAUGCAAGUCGAACGAAGAGCGAUGGAAGCUUGCUUCUAUCAAUCUUAGUGGCGAACGGGUGAGUAACGCGUAAUCAACCUGCCCUUCAGAGGGGGACAACAGUUGGAAACGACUGCUAAUACCGCAUACGAUCUAAUCUCGGCAUCGAGGAAAGAUGAAAGGUGGCCUCUAUUUAUAAGCUAUCACUGAAGGAGGGGAUUGCGUCUGAUUAGCUAGUUGGAGGGGUAACGGCCCACCAAGGCGAAGAUCAGUAGCCGGUCUGAGAGGGUGGACGGCCACAUUGGGACUGAGACACGGCCCAGACUCCUACGGGAGGCAGCAGUGGGGAAUCUUCCGCAAUGGACGAAAGUCUGACGGAGCAACGCCGCGUGAGGGAUGACGGCCGUCGGGUUGUAAAGCUCUGUUAAUCGGGACGAAAGGCCUUCUUGCGAACAGUUAGAAGGAUUGACGGUACCGGAAUAGAAAGCCACGGCUAACUACGUG
RNAcentral lists this ribosomal RNA (510 nucleotides) under uncultured bacterium. RNAcentral's name for it is "partial 16S ribosomal RNA". It matches the Rfam family "Bacterial small subunit ribosomal RNA", at positions 28 to 507 of the family's 1533-position model. The record is from RNAcentral.